This is a long non-coding RNA of Salvia splendens (bonfire salvia), 403 nucleotides long. RefSeq lists it as uncharacterized. The record is from RefSeq and is a predicted model, not a curated record. Lineage: Eukaryota; Viridiplantae; Streptophyta; Magnoliopsida; Lamiales; Lamiaceae. The transcript has 2 exons.
AAUGUGAUGAUCCUACUUUAUUACUGAUACUCUAACUAGAACUCCGCAUGAAAGAUUUGGUAAUCUCAUCUUUGCAGGUCCACUCAGAUUAUUAAUAUCUCAUUGAUGUGGUUCUACUGCUGCAUCCCCUUAGUGUGGGCUCAUGUAUCGAACCGAACUUCAAAUAACUCUUGUGAUGGCUUGGUUCAUUUACUACUCAAACAUCUUAUCCUUCAAAUAUUCGAUACUCCCCCGCUAGCCACUCCACAGAGGAUAAUAGUUCUGAGUGAGUGAUAUGAGUUUUAAAAGAGUGAGUUGGACUUUUUCUUGUAGACUGAUGUAGUAUUGAAUAUUUGAGGAUAAGAUGAUCAAAACAUGACAACUGAUUCUCUUUCAUUUUAUAAAUUUAGAGUUGAUUUUGUUA